ACCGGCAGCUCAAGUGGUGGCCAUUAUUAUUGGGCCUAAAGCGUUCGUAGCCGGUUUGAUAAGUCUCUGGUGAAAUCCCGCAGCUUAACUGUGGGACUUGCUGGAGAUACUAUCAGACUUGAGGUCGGGAGAGGUUAGGGGUACUCCCAGGAUAGGGAUGAAAACGUAUAAUCCUGGGAGGACCACCUGUGGCGAAGGCGCCUUACUGGAACUAAACUGACUGUGAGCGUCUAAAGCCAGGGGCGCGAAUCU
This 252-nucleotide ribosomal RNA is filed under the name uncultured prokaryote. RNAcentral describes it as "partial 16S rRNA". It matches the Rfam family "Archaeal small subunit ribosomal RNA", at positions 475 to 726 of the family's 1478-position model. The record is from RNAcentral.